UGGGGAAUAUUGGACAAUGGGCGCAAGCCUGAUCCAGCCAUGCCGCGUGAGUGAUGAAGGCCCUAGGGUUGUAAAGCUCUUUUGUGCGGGAAGAUAAUGACGGUACCGCAAGAAUAAGCCCCGGCUAACUUCGUGCCAGCAGCCGCGGUAAUACGAAGGGGGCUAGCGUUGCUCGGAAUUACUGGGCGUAAAGGGUGCGUAGGCGGGUCUUUAAGUCAGAGGUGAAAUCCUGGAGCUCAACUCCAGAACUGCCUUUGAUACUGAGGAUCUUGAGUUCGGGAGAGGUGAGUGGAACUGCGAGUGUAGAGGUGAAAUUCGUAGAUAUUCGCAAGAACACCAGUGGCGAAGGCGGCUCACUGGCCCGAUACUGACGCUGAGGCACGAAAGCGUGGGGAGCAAACAGG
RNAcentral lists this ribosomal RNA (404 nucleotides) under Bacillota bacterium. RNAcentral's name for it is "Firmicutes bacterium partial 16S ribosomal RNA". It matches the Rfam family "Bacterial small subunit ribosomal RNA", at positions 355 to 776 of the family's 1533-position model. RNAcentral also lists the same sequence under 1 other name. The record is from RNAcentral. Lineage: Bacteria; Bacillati; Bacillota.